GACGAACGCUGGCGGCGUGCCUAAUACAUGCAAGUCGAGCGCAGGAAACUGACGGAACUCUUCGGAGGGAAGGCAGUGGAAUGAGCGGCGGACGGGUGAGUAACACGUAAGGAACCUGCCUCAAGGAUUGGGAUAACUCCGAGAAAUCGGAGCUAAUACCGGAUAGUUCAACGGACCGCAUGGUCCGCUGAUGAAAGGCGCUUCGGCGUCACCUUGAGAUGGCCUUGCGGUGCAUUAGCUAGUUGGUGGGGUAACGGCCCACCAAGGCGACGAUGCAUAGCCGACCUGGGAGGGUGAUCGGCCACACGGGGACCGAGACACGGCCCAGACUCCUACGGGAGGCAGCAGUAGGGAAUCUUCCACAAUGGACGAAAGUCUGAUGGAGCAACGCCGCGUGAGUGAUGAAGGUUUUCGGAUCGUAAAACUCUGUUGUAAGGGAAGAACACGUACGAGAGGGAAUGCUCGUACCUUGACGGUACCUUACGAGAAAGCCACGGCUAACUACGUGCCAGCCGCCGCCGUAA
RNAcentral lists this ribosomal RNA (524 nucleotides) under uncultured bacterium. RNAcentral's name for it is "partial 16S ribosomal RNA". It matches the Rfam family "Bacterial small subunit ribosomal RNA", at positions 28 to 523 of the family's 1533-position model. The record is from RNAcentral.